CACGUAGGGUGCGAGCGUUUGUCCGGAAUUAUUGGGCGUAAAGAGCUCGUAGGCGGUCUGUUGCGUCCGCUGUGAAAACUCGGGGCUUAACCCCGAGCCUGCAGUGGGUACGGGCAGGCUAGAGUGCGGUAGGGGAGAAUGGAACUCCUGGUGUAGCGGUGGAGUGCGCAGAUAUCAGGAAGAACACCGAUGGCGAAGGCAGUUCUCUGGGGCCGUAACUGACGCUGAGGAGACGAAAGCGUGGGGAGCGAACAGG
RNAcentral lists this ribosomal RNA (256 nucleotides) under uncultured bacterium. RNAcentral describes it as "partial 16S ribosomal RNA". It matches the Rfam family "Bacterial small subunit ribosomal RNA", at positions 524 to 776 of the family's 1533-position model. The record is from RNAcentral.